Molecule: ribosomal RNA, 258 nt
Filed under: uncultured bacterium
Lineage: Bacteria
Description: partial small subunit ribosomal RNA
Rfam family: Bacterial small subunit ribosomal RNA
Source: RNAcentral
AGGACGAACGCUGGCGGUGUGCUUAACACAUGCAAGUCGAGCGGUAAGGCCCUUUCGGGGGUACACGAGCGGCGAACGGGUGAGUAACACGUGGGUGACCUGCCCUUAGCUCUGGGAUAAGCCUGGGAAACUGGGUCUAAUACCGGAUAUGACUCCAUGACGCAUGUUGUGGGGUGGAAAGCCUUGUGCGGCUAGGGAUGGGCCCGCGGCCUAUCAGCUUGUUGGUGGGGUGAUGGCCUACCAAGGCGACGACGGGUA